GGGGAUAUAGCUCAGUAGGUAGAGUGCUUGCCUCACAUGCAAGAGCCCCUGGGUUCAACCCCCAGCACCACA
This 72-nucleotide transfer RNA is filed under the name Marmota monax (woodchuck). RNAcentral describes it as "tRNA.Val". It matches the Rfam family "tRNA". Rfam says of the family: Transfer RNA (tRNA) molecules are approximately 80 nucleotides in length. Their secondary structure includes four short double-helical elements and three loops (D, anti-codon, and T loops). Further hydrogen bonds mediate the characteristic L-shaped molecular structure. tRNAs have two regions of fundamental functional importance: the anti-codon, which is responsible for specific mRNA codon recognition, and the 3' end, to which the tRNAs corresponding amino acid is attached (by aminoacyl-tRNA synthetases). tRNAs cope with the degeneracy of the genetic code in two manners: having more than one tRNA (with a specific anti-codon) for a particular amino acid; and 'wobble' base-pairing, i.e. permitting non-standard base-pairing at the 3rd anti-codon position. The record is from RNAcentral. Lineage: Eukaryota; Metazoa; Chordata; Mammalia; Rodentia; Sciuridae.